UUCAAAGCCAAACUCCCUCACUGAGCGUCCUCGUGUAACAGCCUAGGACUGGUACAAAUCUGGUGAGGGACCCACGAACAAGGAAAGCAGCAAGAGACAGGCUUGGGCCUCUCGACAUGAAAACCAUUAUCUACCUGACCCAUUGGCUGACAGCGCAAACGUCAGUUCAAAUGUGAAAUCAAAAUCAAUUCUGCUUUCAGCGCUAUUUAAAAUCAUCAUUCUGGCUGACAGUAUUGUGCAGUGAGGAGGACAACUCUGCAAUUUCUUUACUGAAACUUCACUUCUCUAACCUAUUUGCCAAGAUAAUAUCAAGAAGAAAGAAAAACAUCCAGUGAGAAAUUCAGAUUCUGUGACUUGAGAGAAACCUGAAGGUUAUCUAGUCCAAUCAUAGAGAAUAAAUGAGUAUGGGAAAGAAACUUCAUGUGGGGUUUCUGUCAACUAAUGACUCUAUUGAUGAGCAGUAAUGGGUGGUUCUCUCAUCAUAAAUAGUCAUGAGAUGCUCAUGAUUAUGAACUUUAAAGUGUAUCUGAAGCCAUCAGGAAAUUAAGCACAAAGCAGCAAUCUUACCCUGGCAGACAGAGAAACAGAGGCUUAAGGAUUAAGAUGACUCUACCUGAAAAACAGAGGCUUAAGGAUUAAGAUGACUCUACUACCUGAAAAAUAGCAGAGCUGGCAAAGAAAACCAGGGUCAGGAAGAAAUUUGCCUUGAGUCUCCAAUGAUGAGACUCUAGACUUAGGACUUCAGGACUUUUAAGUUGAUACUUGGAAUGAGUAAAGACUUUGGGGGACUGUUGGGAAGGGAUGAUUGUAUUUUGCAAUAUGAGGGGAACAUGAGAUUUGGAAGGCCAGGGGCAGAAUGCUAUGCUUUGGAUAUUUGUCCUCUCCAAUACCCAUGUUGAAAUGUAACCCCAGUGUUGGAGGUCAGGACUGAUGGGAGGUGAUUGGAUUGUGCGGGCAGAUCCCUUAUGGAUGGCUUGGUACUAUUCUCAUGAUAAUGAGCAAGUUCUUGCUCAGCAAGUUUACAUGAGAUCUGGUCGUGUAAAAUUGUGUGGCACCUCCUCAUCCAUGUUCCCAUUCUCGCUGUGUGAUGCUCCUGCUUUCCUUUCCCUUUAUGCCAUGAUUGUAGCUUUCUGAGGCCUCACCAGAAGGUGAAUUAGAUGCUAGUGCCAUACUUACUGCAGAACUGUGAACCAAUU
This 1196-nucleotide long non-coding RNA is filed under the name Homo sapiens (human). Its description in RNAcentral is "HSALNT0174177". Lineage: Eukaryota; Metazoa; Chordata; Mammalia; Primates; Hominidae. The record is from RNAcentral.